RNAcentral lists this ribosomal RNA (439 nucleotides) under uncultured bacterium. Its description in RNAcentral is "partial 16S ribosomal RNA". It matches the Rfam family "Bacterial small subunit ribosomal RNA", at positions 339 to 795 of the family's 1533-position model. The record is from RNAcentral.
CUACGGGUGGCUGCAGUGAGGAAUAUUGCACAAUGGGGGGAACCCUGAUGCAGCAACGCCGCGUGGAGGAUGACGCAUUUCGGUGUGUAAACUCCUUUUAUAUGUCAAGAAAAUGACGGUAGCAUAUGAAUAAGCGCCGGCUAACUCUGUGCCAGCAGCCGCGGUAAUACGGAGGGCGCAAGCGUUACUCGGAAUCACUGGGCGUAAAGGACGCGUAGGCGGGUUGAAAAGUCAGGUGUGAAAGCCUACAGCUUAACUGUAGAACUGCACUUGAAACUCUCAAUCUAGAGUAUGGGAGGGGCAGAUGGAAUUAGUGGUGUAGGGGUAAAAUCCGUAGAUAUCACUAGGAAUACCUAAAGCGAAGGCGAUCUGCUGGAACAUUACUGACGCUAAGGCGUGAAAGCGUGGGGAGUAAACAGGAUUAGAUACCCCGGUAGUC